CGCAAAUAUUCUGAAGGACUGAGACGCUUAAGCCUGAUGAGAUCCAUAGCUUAAACGGAGGGCGAGGAGCGAAACACAGUGUCUUGCAAUAUAGGCACAGGGGAACAAAGAAACUUCUGUUCACCUCAGCUUUACGUAAGUGGGAAUAGAGCAGGAGCCAGGCUAACCAUCACCUGUCCUGCUGCCAAGUUCCUGCAGAGGUUCCUCCACAUUAAUCACGCUGUUUAAUCACGGCCAUCUGUUCCAACAGCCAGCUAUGUGGCAGUCCCUCGGGGCUGGGACACACCCACACCCACCCCCCGCGACGGUACCCGAGGCAGGUGGAGCUCGGUGAGGGGUGAAGGCGGCCCCUAGGGCGGGGAAGGUCGAGCAGCACCUGGAGGCGGCGGGGAGGAGGCCGGGGGCCGAGCUGUGGAGGCCAUUUGCCGGCGGGCGGGUGCGAGUGUCCCAGCCUUCACUGAAGCAGACCAGAUUCUAAAUCUUCAUACUUUGUACCAUUUCAAGCCAGUCUGUUGUCAGCUGCAACUGGUUCUUUUCAUCUUUUGUGGUAAAUGUCAGAAGCAUGGCUGUUGGUCUACAAGAGCUCUAGAGUCUUCUUUGGAGCAGGAACCUGACAUUUUGUACCAAAAUAGCCUAAAAACAGCCUCAGGGUCAUACUGUCACUUUAAAAGUUAACGCAUCAAAGAUUUAACACCUGGUAAGUACUGCAAGUGUUACUUUGAAAAGUGAAAGUUAUUUUCAUUUGGAAAGUGUUCCAAGGCUUGACAGCCUUUCCCACACAUUCAUACUGUCUUCCAACUGGAAAAAUUUGGAAAAUAGUAGGGAAGUAUGUGUGUGUGUCCGGAGGGAAAGCUCACCCUACAGAAGACAUAUUUGGAAGCAAUCUUUUUCCAAGUACAGUUGAAAUGAAAGGAAAUCUUACUUUUCUGAUGAAAAUAUUUUUGUCAAGAAUUUCUGACCUCUUCACAUUCUCCUGCCAGUGAUGAACAUGGAGGGAGAAAAAGAAUUUGCUUUUCUUAUUUCCUCCAAACAACAAACCGAAAGACUAUAGGAAAUGACAUUAAAGCAGUGAAAGUGGUGUUAGAAUUGCGAAGCCAAGGAUUUUAGCCAUAGGAAAUGAGGGAAUUGAGGCUCCCGUUUGAUUUUACUCAUCACUUAUGCCCGAGC
RNAcentral lists this long non-coding RNA (1167 nucleotides) under Calidris pugnax (ruff). RNAcentral describes it as "lncRNA (ENSCPUG00000014226.1)". The record is from RNAcentral. Lineage: Eukaryota; Metazoa; Chordata; Aves; Charadriiformes; Scolopacidae.